This 386-nucleotide long non-coding RNA is filed under the name Gallus gallus (chicken). Lineage: Eukaryota; Metazoa; Chordata; Aves; Galliformes; Phasianidae. The record is from RNAcentral.
GCUGCAACUUCUCGAUCUCCUUCUCCAGCCUUAAGAUCUCCUCCAUCUGACGCCUCUCUUCUUCUUGCAGUGGAAUAUCUGCUUCCUCGGUCUUUACCGUUUGCACCGGAGCCACCUGGAGCAGAGCAUUCAGCUGUUCCUUCUCUCUCUUCCUCCUCCCGCUUCCUCCUACGCUCUUUCUCUUCUUGCCAUUGUCUUUCCUCUUCCUCUCUUCUGAUCUGUUCUUCCUUCUCUCGCCUCCUCCUCUCCUCUGCUUCCUGCUGCCGCCGGAGCUCCUGCUGCCGCAGGCGUCGGUAGAGGCUGCGAGCCAGGUGGCCACGCCAGUGCUUCUGCAGGACGAUGGCAGAGGCCUUCAGCCGCAGCAGGCUCUUCUUCCAGAAGUACGC